Rhinolophus ferrumequinum (greater horseshoe bat) is the source of this 107-nucleotide small nuclear RNA. The record is from Ensembl. NCBI's taxonomy places the organism in Eukaryota, Metazoa, Chordata, Mammalia, Chiroptera, Rhinolophidae.
AUGCUCACUUAGGCAGCACAUAUGCUAACAUUGGAAUGGUACAGAAAAGAUUAGCAUGGCCCUUAUGCAAGGAUGAAAAGCAAAUUUGUGAAGUGUUCCAUACUUUU